RNAcentral lists this ribosomal RNA (253 nucleotides) under uncultured bacterium. RNAcentral's name for it is "partial 16S ribosomal RNA". It matches the Rfam family "Bacterial small subunit ribosomal RNA", at positions 524 to 776 of the family's 1533-position model. The record is from RNAcentral.
UACGCAGGGGGCUAGCGUUGCUCGGAAUCACUGGGCGUAAAGUGUGCGUAGGCGGGUCUUUACGUCAGGGGUGAAAUCCUGGAGCUCAACUCCAGAACUGCCUUUGAUACUGAAGAUCUUGAGUUCGGGAGAGGUGAGUGGAACUGCGAGUGUAGAGGUGAAAUUCGUAGAUAUUCGCAAGAACACCAGUGGCGAAGGCGGCUCACUGGCCCGAUACUGACGCUGAGGCACGAAAGCGUGGGGAGCAAACAGG